This is a non-coding RNA of Hydra vulgaris (swiftwater hydra), 488 nucleotides long. NCBI's taxonomy places the organism in Eukaryota, Metazoa, Cnidaria, Hydrozoa, Anthoathecata, Hydridae. The record is from RefSeq and is a predicted model, not a curated record.
GUUUUUCAUGGGGUAUCAAUGAAAGUUUGGUGUAUUGGCCAAAUCACUUGCAAGCAUCUUGCUUUUAAACUGCCAUAUGUAAAGUCACACUUUUAAAAGUAACUAAAAGCAGCUGAAAAUAAGAAUUUUUUGAUGAACUUUCUUACUUCGGUUGGAGGAGAUGAGAAACAACUUUCCGCGGCAAUCUUAAUACAGCUAAUGGCCAAAGAAGUAUGUUUUUCAUAAUCAGUGUAUGGAAUGAAACAAAAAACGUCCUGCUAGGUCAUUAUAGAGUUGUGUUUAGUCGUUUAUCGUUGUAUUCGUUCAUUUCGAAAUCGCUACUGACAAAAGUAUUAAAGAAAAAAUUGGCAGCUUUCUGGCGACGGCCAUUAAUAGAGAUUACAGAAGAAAAAUAGAACCGUAACUGAGCAACGCCCAAUAUUGAGCAAUGAAAUAAGUAUCGCCAAUAUAAUGAAAGUCGGUGCCCACUAUCUCAUAGUGAGAGUAUA